UACGUAGGGGGCCAGCGUUGCUCGGACUUACUGGGCGUAAAGGGUUCGUAGGUGGUGCGUCAAGUUGGAAGUGAAAUCUCUGGGCUUCCCCCAGAGGCUGCUUUCAAAACUGCCGUGCUCGAGUGCGAGAGAGGUCAGUGGAAUUGCAGGUGUAGCGGUGAAAUGCGUAGAUAUCUGGAGGAACACCCGUGGCGAAGGCGGCUGACUGGAUCGCAACUGACACUGAGGAACGAAAGCGAGGGGAGCAAACAGG
Molecule: ribosomal RNA, 253 nt
Filed under: uncultured bacterium
Lineage: Bacteria
Description: partial 16S ribosomal RNA
Rfam family: Bacterial small subunit ribosomal RNA
Source: RNAcentral